Molecule: long non-coding RNA, 304 nt
Filed under: Carica papaya (papaya)
Lineage: Eukaryota; Viridiplantae; Streptophyta; Magnoliopsida; Brassicales; Caricaceae
Description: long non-coding RNA (CPAP_LNC013978)
Source: RNAcentral
AUGACCACCUCAUUUCGCAGGUCCACUCUCGUUAGAGGAAAAUACGAAUCAUUCACAGGGAGUGGUUCACCAAUAACAAAUUCAGAGGAGGGAGAAACAAAAAUCCCUCAGAGAUAACAGUUAAACGAAUUUCUUCAUUCUUUUCACUUGUUUAAUUCAUGCUCAUAACAAUUUCAUAUUCUUUCAUAUGCAUACUACAUGUUCAAUGCAAACAUUUGUGAAUCCACAGGGAUUCCAUAACUUAUCCAGCCCGUAGGCCCCUUUUACACAUAUCUCACAUUCCACAUAUCCGGCUCGAAGGCCC